UACAUGCUGAAGAGUGAGAAGCUGAUGAUAAGAUAAGAAAAUAGGUUGGGUUUACUUUUUAAUGUAUCCUGAAAGGUGGGGUAUGAAAAGUUGGUCCCUAACAGUAGAAAUUAUAAGCUGCUGAACAUGAAGGAGAUAUGAUUGAAUUUGAAGGUAAAGAAUGGACAGGGUGGAGACAUGAUCACUGGUGAGGCAAGUAAGCAGAUGGCUACUCUUUCAAGAAACAGCAAAGAGAAGGAAAGCAACAGAGCAACCUUGAAAGGUGGCUGCACAAGCUGGCUCCAAUUUCUCUUUCCUGCAGAAAUCUAAGUAGUGUGCAUAAAGGAUGCACCUUGUUCUGAGCCCUUGAUAGUUAUGGAAAUAUGGAGAUGCAUUUAUUUGCAAAAAUCACAUAAACAAAGCAUACUUCAUUUGAGUCUGAAAUGAUACACUGAAGUGAUACCCUACAACAUUUUGCUGUGGUGUUUAAGAGGAGCCGAGUGGGCAAGUCUUACCACUGCAACGUGAGCUGAGUCUGCUUCUUUUUAUCCUUCAUAAUCUGCGUGAUGGUUUUCUUCUGCGAGAGCUCCGGAUCUUCACUUCUCUCCGCGCUGCCCAGCGCGCCCCCAGGCUGAGUUUCAGGCACCAGCUUGCGGUGGACCCGUGGACACAUUUCAUACAGCAACUCCCAGAAAGAUCUGAGCGGGCUCCGCUCUGAUUUCCUUCGGAAGAGCAGCUACAACUGCCUCCGUCCCUACAACCUGGAGACGCGAAUGACGCUUGCGGCCGAACAGCCUUGAUUCUGCUCACCUGGGCCAGGGAAGGGAGGCCCCCAGAGCAUUCUUUGCUCAGUCUUUGUACGCAGGGCUGAUUUAUUAUUUCUGGAGUAGUCCUACGGGGUGCUGAGGGCUGUACUUAGUGACCUGUGGACAGACGCCAUCGUAUCACACACUUGUCCAGAGUGCCCGGCUCCUGGGCUCACCAGCACCCAGGAUGCCGGAUCUCACGCCGUUUUGUAUCGGGGCUGCUCUGUAACAGGGGCACUAACUGGCCCAGAACUAGAAAAAAAGUUAUGCGUUCUCUGCGAUUUAGUGUUUGGUGACUUAAACGCGUGCGGCAGGCCUGACGAUCCCUCAUCUCUUAUACUGGGAAAGAGCCGUGUACAAUUGUUAAAAUGAAAAA
This is a long non-coding RNA of Talpa occidentalis (Iberian mole), 1161 nucleotides long. RefSeq lists it as uncharacterized. The transcript has 7 exons. The record is from RefSeq and is a predicted model, not a curated record. Lineage: Eukaryota; Metazoa; Chordata; Mammalia; Eulipotyphla; Talpidae.